AGAGGAGGAGGAGGAGGAGAGGGGAAGGGGAAGAAAAGCUGCUGCUCCAGAUGCACUAAGAAGCGUCCCUGCUGGUUCUCCAUUCUGCAUCCGUGCAGCCACGUUCUAUUGAUGGCCUGUUGUGAUUUCAAUGGAACAUCAUGGGAUGUACCUGGCACGUCGGGCAGCACUGGAUGGAGGUGCCUUUAGCCCAAUGUACCUGGCAUGCACUGUUAGUUCAUUGUUCAGGUGCUUGGUGUCUAGCCUUCUCAUCCAUCCACAAAUCCUCUAC
RNAcentral lists this long non-coding RNA (271 nucleotides) under Calidris pygmaea (Spoon-billed sandpiper). Its description in RNAcentral is "lncRNA (ENSCPGG00000013205.1)". The record is from RNAcentral. Lineage: Eukaryota; Metazoa; Chordata; Aves; Charadriiformes; Scolopacidae.